This 135-nucleotide ribosomal RNA is filed under the name Xenorhabdus sp. GDc328. RNAcentral describes it as "partial 23S ribosomal RNA". It matches the Rfam family "Bacterial large subunit ribosomal RNA", at positions 1 to 124 of the family's 2925-position model. Lineage: Bacteria; Pseudomonadati; Pseudomonadota; Gammaproteobacteria; Enterobacterales; Morganellaceae. The record is from RNAcentral.
GGGUUGUGAGGUUAAGCGACUAAGCGUACACGGUGGAUGCCUAGGCAGUCAGAGGCGAUGAAGGACGUGCUAAUCUGCGAAAAGCGCCGGUGAGCUGAUAUGAAGCGCUGUCAGCCGGCGAUGUCCGAAUGGGGA